This 297-nucleotide long non-coding RNA is filed under the name Prunus dulcis (almond). Its description in RNAcentral is "sRNA ncRNA". The record is from RNAcentral. Lineage: Eukaryota; Viridiplantae; Streptophyta; Magnoliopsida; Rosales; Rosaceae.
UGACAUGAUAUACACACUUUAAUUUUGGAAAAAGUGAAAGAUGUCAAUAUAUUAUUUGAUGAAAAAUGUGGAAUUGGAAGUGGGAAUGUAAGAAGAUACAGACUUAGUCAAGUUUGCUAGAACAGAUGUGAUCCUUAUUUUGUACAGAGUUCGAAUUCCCAUUUUCGUAAUUUAAAUUAGAUUAAAGUAGAAUAUAUAAACAAUAUAUCGUUUGUAAUUUAGAUUACAUAAAACAGAGGCAACUUUGUUGAAACGAUAAAUCUCAAGAGGGCACAAUCAGAAAGAGAAGAUGAGAAG